CUGAUCUAAACAAAAGAGAUACCAGCCGUUAACGUUGGUGGCACAGUGCUUUUCGUUGGCUUCGUAUAGUGCUCGGUUUCCUGGAUCUCCAUUUCUGUCUGCUGAGCAAGCUGCAGGUUCCAGCGAAAUAACUACACCAUCAAUCCUAUCAUUUCACUCUUUGCCAGAAAUCAUAGAGGGGUAUUUCCAAAACUUGCCAACUACUCCUCAAAAUGUUAUCCCAUGACCUCCUCUUUAUUAUGCAACUGUAUUGUGGAAUAAACAGAUACUGGCAGGCUUGAUGUGCUGGUAUCUCUGUGGGCACGGACAGAUAAGAGAUGAACACCAUUACAAGUUCUUAAGGUCCUGACAUACAACGGUUCUUACAUAACACUCAUUCCUGCUUUGAAACAACACCCAAUGCAGCAGUUGACCCGGUCACCUGCAGUAAGGGAUAUAAAUCACAACAGAAUGCAAUAAGGAAAACAAUAAAGCUGCAAAAUGAUGUGAUAUAACGAUAUGAAAUAAUUUCAUCCUGUUUUUCCAAUGUAAGUUCAUGUAGCAAAUACAUUCCAUCAGCAGUAAUGUGCUGUUAAGUUUUUGUCAAUGGAAGACACACACAUGAUUAGAUACAACCAUCAACCCUUUUAAGGAAUGUGUGUUUUCCCUUAUUGCGAUACAAUUGAAGAGAAACAAAGCAGCCCCAAAAUUUUAACGUCAAUAUUAUUUUCCAUAACACCAAACAGAUAAAUGUUUUCUAAAUGUUGUCCUGUGUUUCAGAGACACCAUAUACUGUACACUGUAGAGCUGGUGGAGGCCAUCACGGUGGUCUGGUGAAAGGCCCUCUGGGAUACAAGGGGACUUCCGGAGUUUCGGGCAGGCCAGAUAAGACAACCGGGAGAGCCGCAUCAGAUAAGGCACUAUUCACUCUGGACGCAUUAAUGUUCCAAUCGGUAGCCAAAAGUCUCAAGGGAGGACAUAAUCUAGAAGAUCUUGGAAAGACCAGAGUUUCUGGGUGAAAAAGGACCAAAAACACAACUGUUGAAGAUCUGGAAAGAGGACCCUCCUGGGCACCUUUCCGUUGAAGGUUUCCCAAGCCUGCCCAACCAGUCGGCCCAAGGUAGACCCAGAACUCCCUGGAGGGACUACGUAUCCCAUCUGGCCUGGGAACCCUUGGGAUCCCCAGGAAGAGCUGGAAAGCGUGACGGGGGAAGUCAGGGAUACCCUACUUGGCCAGCUUACUCCGUGACCCGAGCCCAAAUAAGCAGAAGAUGGAUGGAUGGUUAUGCACAGCACCAGGACAGAAACACUAAACUAACAGGUUUAGACAAAAGUCAUUUUUGUGUCCACAGUGCAAGGCCCAUUAAGUGACACAGAAUCCUUGUAGUUGUCAGGGUUAUCAGGGAGUGUGUAAACAGACCACUGUUUAAGCCCAAUUAACACAGAGAAAUGUUGAAAUGAAUGGUUCACAGUCCCAGUAGGUCAAGCCAAGGUCGACUUUUAUGUCCUGUAAUCUACGACUUAUAGUCCCCUGUAUGGGGCGAAAACAUGUAACUGUUGUGUUCUGUCAGAGCGAGAACAUGUUUCUAUCUGUCUGAUACAGUAUCUGCUGCGGCGUGCCUCUGAUGCUGAGCGGAAAUUGAUUGACACAGAGCAAUAAUACCCACAUAAAACCGAUUUCUUUCAUUCUAGUAAUGAUACGGCGAUGUUGUGCAUAAAUUUGAAGAAAAUGUC
Long non-coding RNA from Platichthys flesus (European flounder), 1713 nucleotides. RefSeq lists it as uncharacterized. The record is from RefSeq and is a predicted model, not a curated record. The transcript is spliced from 2 exons. NCBI's taxonomy places the organism in Eukaryota, Metazoa, Chordata, Actinopteri, Pleuronectiformes, Pleuronectidae.